This 783-nucleotide ribosomal RNA is filed under the name uncultured bacterium. RNAcentral's name for it is "bacterial SSU rRNA". It matches the Rfam family "Bacterial small subunit ribosomal RNA", at positions 669 to 1451 of the family's 1533-position model. The record is from RNAcentral.
CCANGUGUAGCGGUGAAAUGCGUAGAUAUAUGGAGGAACACCAGUGGCGAAAGCGGCUCUNUGGUCUGUCACUGACGCUGAGGCUCGAAAGCGUGGGUAGCGAACAGGAUUAGAUACCCUGGUAGUNCACGCCGUAAACGAUGAGUGCUAGGUGUUAGGCCCUUUCCGGGGCUUAGUGCCGGAGCUAACGCAAUAAGCACUCCGCCUGGGGAGUACGACCGCAAGGUUGAAACUCAAAGGAAUUGACGGGGGCCCGCACAAGCGGUGGAGCAUGUGGUUUAAUUCGAAGCAACGCGAAGAACCUUACCAGGUCUUGACAUCCCGAUGCUAUUCUUAGAGAUAGGAAGUUACUUCGGUACAUCGGAGACAGGUGGUGCAUGGUUGUCGUCAGCUCGCGUCGUGAGAUGUUGGGUUAAGUCCCGCAACGAGCGCAACCCUUAUUGUUAGCUGCCAUCAUUAAGUUGGGCACUCUAGCGAGACUGCCGGUAAUAAACCGGAGGAAGGUGGGGAUGACGUCAAAUCAUCAUGCCCCUUAUGACCUGGGCUACACACGUGCUACAAUGGUCGGUACAACGAGUUGCGAGCCGGUGACGGCAAGCUAAUCUCUGAAAGCCGAUCUCAGUUCGGAUUGGAGGCUGCAACUCGCCUCCAUGAAGUCGGAAUCGCUAGUAAUCGCGGAUCAGCACGCCGCGGUGAAUACGUUCCCGGGCCUUGUACACACCGCCCGUCACACCACGAGAGUUUGUAACACCCGAAGUCGGUGAGGUAACCUUUUAGGGNCCA